AGUGAGAAGCAGCCACCGAGUGGCUGAGAGCAUUUGCUAUUGGACUGCAUACUGGGCAAAAGAGAAAUGGAAUGACAACAUCUACAUUUUUGUUUUAAGCAACUAGGUGGAAGGCAGUGCCAUUUGCUGAGAUGGAGAAGGUAGGAAGACGAUAGAAGAAGCAACUGUCAGAUCUGAACAUCAGAGGGUAACCAAGAGGUAUCUAAUUGGACAUGGGAACCACUCAAUGGGAGAAUACUCAUGCCUGGUCCUAGCAAACAGACUGGAUGCAAUUUUUCAGACUGGAUUACCACCUUACCCAAUUGACAAGGCCAACUUUUAAAGAGAGAACUCUCACAGAUCUAUUCCUUCAGUGCAAAAGAAGAUUGACCCGCCAGGCACUGGGAAAGAACACCAUGGAUAUAGAAUGAGGACGAUAUAAUUUUAAAAGAAAUUCAUGGCUUAUGAAGAAAGCACACAUGUGCAACCUCUUACAACCCUUGAAGUUUUUUUUGUUUUGUUUUGUUUUGUUUUGUUUUUCU
Rattus norvegicus (Norway rat) is the source of this 521-nucleotide non-coding RNA. Lineage: Eukaryota; Metazoa; Chordata; Mammalia; Rodentia; Muridae. The record is from RefSeq and is a predicted model, not a curated record.